RNAcentral lists this ribosomal RNA (1389 nucleotides) under Triticum aestivum (bread wheat). RNAcentral describes it as "partial small subunit ribosomal RNA". Lineage: Eukaryota; Viridiplantae; Streptophyta; Magnoliopsida; Poales; Poaceae. The record is from RNAcentral.
AUGACGUCCCUCUCCUCGUUCGCGGCCGCGGCGCGCGCCACCUUCCUCCCUUCCUCCUGCCGCGCGCGGCCGGCGGGCGGCAGGAGGUCGCAGCUCCUCGUGACCCGCGCGGCAGCGUCCAGCCCCAAGCUCCCCGGCGGGCGGAAGCUGCGGGUGGCGGUCGUGGGAGGGGGCCCCGCGGGCGGCGCGGCCGCGGAGGCGCUGGCCAAGGGCGGCGUCGAGACGGUGCUCAUCGAGCGCAAGAUGGACAACUGCAAGCCGUGCGGCGGGGCCAUCCCGCUCUGCAUGGUGUCCGAGUUCGACCUGCCGCUGGACCUCGUCGACAGGAGGGUCACCAAGAUGAAGAUGAUUUCGCCCUCCAACGUCGCCGUCGACAUCGGCCGCACGCUCGCGCCGCACGAGUACAUUGGCAUGGUCAGGCGCGAGGUGCUCGACGACUUCCUCCGUAACCGCGCGCAGAAGGCCGGCGCCGAGGUCCUCAAUGGCCUCUUCCUAAGGUAUGAGGCGCCCAAGGAGCGCAACGGCACGUACACGGUGCACUACAACCACUACGACAGCUCCAACGGCAAGGUGGGCGGCGAGAAGCGCUCGUUCGAGGUGGACGCGAUCGUGGGCGCGGACGGCGCCAACUCCCGCGUGGCCAAGGACAUGGGCGCGGGCGACUACGAGUACGCCAUCGCGUUCCAGGAGCGCGUCAAGAUCCCCGACGACAAGAUGCGCUACUACGAGGAGCGCGCCGAGAUGUACGUCGGCGACGACGUGUCCCCCGACUUCUACGGCUGGGUGUUCCCCAAGUGCGACCACGUCGCCGUCGGCACCGGCACCGUCACCCACAAGGCCGACAUCAAGAAGUUCCAGGCCGCCACGCGCCUCCGCGCCAAGGACAAGAUCGAGGGCGGCAAGAUCAUCCGCGUCGAGGCUCACCCCAUCCCCGAGCACCCCAGGCCCAAGAGGGUGUCGGGGCGGGUGACGUUGGUGGGCGACGCGGCGGGGUACGUGACCAAGUGCUCCGGCGAGGGGAUCUACUUCGCGGCGAAGAGCGGGCGGAUGUGCGCGGAGGCGAUCGUGGCCGGGUCGGCGAACGGGACGCGGCUGGUGGACGAGAGCGACCUGCGCAAGUACCUGGCGGAGUUCGACCGGCUCUACUGGCCGACGUACAAAGUGCUGGACAUCCUGCAGAAGGUGUUCUACCGCUCCAACGCGGCGCGGGAGGCGUUCGUGGAGAUGUGCGCCGACGACUACGUGCAGCGGAUGACCUUCGACAGCUACCUCUACAAGCGCGUCGUGCCGGGCAACCCCAUCGAGGACAUCAAGCUCGCCGUCAACACCAUCGGCAGCCUCGUCAGGGCCACCGCGCUGCGCCGGGAGAUGGGGAAGCUCACCUUGUGA